UACGUAGGUGGCGAGCGUUGUCCGGAAUUAUUGGGCGUAAAGGGCGCGUAGGCGGUUUUUUAAGUCAGAUGUGAAAUCCCGAGGCUUAACUUCGGGCGUGCAUUUGAAACUGGAGGGCUAGAGUGCAGGAGAGGUAAGUGGAAUUCCUAGUGUAGCGGUGAAAUGCGUAGAUAUUAGGAGGAACACCAGUGGCGAAGGCGACUUACUGGACUGUAACUGACGCUGAGGCGCGAAAGCGUGGGGAGCAAAC
RNAcentral lists this ribosomal RNA (250 nucleotides) under uncultured bacterium. RNAcentral's name for it is "partial 16S ribosomal RNA". It matches the Rfam family "Bacterial small subunit ribosomal RNA", at positions 524 to 773 of the family's 1533-position model. The record is from RNAcentral.